AUUGAACGCUGGCGGCAUGCCUUACACAUGCAAGUCGAACGGCAGCACGGGAGCAAUCCUGGUGGCGAGUGGCGAACGGGUGAGUAAUGUAUCGGAACGUGCCCAGUCGUGGGGGAUAACGUAGCGAAAGCUACGCUAAUACCGCAUACGAUCUAUGGAUGAAAGCGGGGGAUCGCAAGACCUCGCGCGAUUGGAGCGGCCGAUAUCAGAUUAGGUAGUUGGUGGGGUAAAGGCUCACCAAGCCGACGAUCUGUAGCUGGGCUGAGAGGACGACCAGACACACUGGGACUGAGACACGGCCCAGAGUCCUACGGGAGGCAGCAGUGGGGAAUUUUGGACAAUGGGCGCAAGCCUGAUCCAGCAAUGCCGCGUGCAGGAUGAAGGCCUUCGGGCUGUAAACUGCUUUUGUACGGAACGAAACGGCGAGCUCUAAUACAGUUUGCUAAUGACGGUACCGUAAGAAUAAGCACCGGCUAACUACGUGCCAGCCGCCGGGGUAA
Molecule: ribosomal RNA, 500 nt
Filed under: uncultured bacterium
Lineage: Bacteria
Description: partial 16S ribosomal RNA
Rfam family: Bacterial small subunit ribosomal RNA
Source: RNAcentral